AGAGUUUGAUCCUCGCUCAGAUUGAACGCUGGCGGCAUGCCUUACACAUGCAAGUCGAACGGCAGCACGGGAGCAAUCCUGGUGGCGAGUGGCGAACGGGUGAGUAAUACAUCGGAACGUGCCCAGUUGUGGGGGAUAGCCCGGCGAAAGCCGGAUUAAUACCGCAUACGACCUACGGGUGAAAGCGGGGGAUCGCAAGACCUCGCGCAAUUGGAGCGGCCGAUGGCAGAUUAGCUUGUUGGUGGGGUAAAAGCCCACCAAGGCGACGAUCUGUAGCUGGUCUGAGAGGACGACCAGCCACACUGGGACUGAGACACGGCCCAGACUCCUACGGGAGGCAGCAGUGGGGAAUUUUGGACAAUGGGCGCAAGCCUGAUCCAGCCAUGCCGCGUGUGGGAAGAAGGCCUUCGGGUUGUAAACCACUUUUGUCAGGGAAGAAACGGUCUGAUCUAAUAAAUCGGACUAAUGACGGUACCUGAAGAAUAAGCACCGGCUAACUACGUGCCAGCAGCCGCGGUAAUACGUAGGGUGCAAGCGUUAAUCGGAAUUACUGGGCGUAAAGCGUGCGCAGGCGGCUAUGCAAGACAGAUGUGAAAUCCCCGGGCUCAACCUGGGAACUGCAUUUGUGACUGCAUGGCUAGAGUACGGCAGAGGGGGAUGGAAUUCCGCGUGUAGCAGUGAAAUGCGUAGAUAUGCGGAGGAACACCGAUGGCGAAGGCAAUCCCCUGGGCCUGUACUGACGCUCAUGCACGAAAGCGUGGGGAGCAAACAGGAUUAGAUACCCUGGUAGUCCACGCCCUAAACGAUGUCAACUGGUUGUUGGACGGCUUGCUGUUCAGUAACGAAGCUAACGCGUGAAGUUGACCGCCUGGGGAGUACGGCCGCAAGGUUGAAACUCAAAGGAGUUGACGGGGACCCGCACAAGCGGUGGAUGAUGUGGUUUAAUUCGAUGCAACGCGAAAAACCUUACCUACCCUUGACAUGUCUAGAAGUUUCCAGAGAUGGAUUCGUGCUCGAAAGAGAACUAGAACACAGGUGCUGCAUGGCCGUCGUCAGCUCGUGUCGUGAGAUGUUGGGUUAAGUCCCGCAACGAGCGCAACCCUUAUCAUUAGUUGCUACGUAAGGGCACUCUAAUGAGACUGCCGGUGACAAACCGGAGGAAGGUGGGGAUGACGUCAGGUCAUCAUGGCCCUUAUGGGUAGGGCUACACACGUCAUACAAUGGCCGGUACAGAGGGCUGCCAACUCGCGAGAGGGAGCUAAUCUCAGAAAACCGGUCGUAGUCCGGAUCGCAGUCUGCAACUCGACUGCGUGAAGUCGGAAUCGCUAGUAAUCGCGGAUCAGCUUGCCGCGGUGAAUACGUUCCCGGGUCUUGUACACACCGCCCGUCACACCAUGGGAGCGGGUUCUGCCAGAAGUAGUUAGCCUAACCGCAAGGAGGGCGAUUACCACGGCAGGGUUCGUGACUGGGGUUAU
RNAcentral lists this ribosomal RNA (1475 nucleotides) under metagenome. RNAcentral describes it as "bacterial SSU rRNA". It matches the Rfam family "Bacterial small subunit ribosomal RNA". The record is from RNAcentral.